Molecule: long non-coding RNA, 827 nt
Filed under: Setaria viridis
Lineage: Eukaryota; Viridiplantae; Streptophyta; Magnoliopsida; Poales; Poaceae
Description: long non-coding RNA (SVIR_LNC010361)
Source: RNAcentral
CCCAUUCCAUUCCGUCCAUCCAUCCACCAUGGCGACCGCCACGCUGCUGAGCUCCUCCUUCGCCAUGCCCGCCGCCGCCCGGAGGGCCUCCUCCUCGUCCUCCACCUCCCUCGGCUUCGCCACGUCACAGCUUGCCGGCCUCUCCCUCUCCGCCGGCGCUGUCACUUCAACCGCCAUCGCCCCCCUCCCCAAGAGGCAGUUCCAGCCCAUCGUCGUGCGUACGUCUUCGAUUUGCUUUGCUUCGUUUCUUGUUCGUUUAUUUCCCUUCCUACCAACGAAUCUUCAGCUGACUGGGUUGCUCCAUUCUUCUCUGCUAUCAGCUAGUUCUCCAGUGGCAUUGUUCAAUUCAAUGCCUAGCUGCUCCGCCCAUUUCAAUUUCAAUCCUAUUACCAAAAAGUUCACAUCCAUCAGUUCUGACCUGCAUCUGUGCAACAAGCAGGAUGAUAAUUAGGGUAAUUGCCAUUUGAUUAACGAGAUGAUGAAGUUUUAUGUGUUGUUUCUUUCAUUCAGGCCGGGUGUGCCCCUUCACUGACAAGAAGACGAACCGGGCGAACAAGGUGUCCUUCUCCAACCACAAGACGAAGAAGCAGCAGUUCGUGAACCUGCAGUACAAGAAGCUGUGGUGGGAGGCCGGCAAGCGCUUCGUCAAGCUGCGCCUCUCCACCAAGGCCCUCAAGACCAUCGAGAAGCACGGCCUCGACGCCGUCGCGCGCAAGGCCGGCAUCGACCUCAACAAGAAGUGAGACGAGCUUGAGUAGUCAAGCCAGUGGUGGCGGUAUGGUCAGCCCGAGCAAUCUCGCAAAUAGAUGCCACUAGCUUAGCCUUCA